CUCUCCCAGGUUUCAGCUCCUGUGGCUGCAGCAGGAGCUCCUGUUCCAUCUUGGGGAGUGUGGCAAGACGGGCAAGGUCCUGGGCUUGAAGGCGGCACUCCCUGAUUUCCUGCCCCAGCUCUUCAUGCUGCCCAAGGAGCUGCUCAGCCCCCACCACGUCCUCAGCCAGCUCCUCAGAGGAUGCCAGCUCCUGCCUCUCCCGUGCCCAUGCUCUCACCUGCAAAGGUGUGAGGCCCGGCAGGGUCACUCGAGAUGGUAUCAUGAGCUCUCAAAGUUCAUGAAGAGCUCAG
Long non-coding RNA from Cercocebus atys (sooty mangabey), 290 nucleotides. RefSeq lists it as uncharacterized. The record is from RefSeq and is a predicted model, not a curated record. Lineage: Eukaryota; Metazoa; Chordata; Mammalia; Primates; Cercopithecidae. The transcript has 3 exons.